This is a long non-coding RNA of Onychostruthus taczanowskii (white-rumped snowfinch), 316 nucleotides long. RefSeq lists it as uncharacterized. Lineage: Eukaryota; Metazoa; Chordata; Aves; Passeriformes; Passeridae. The record is from RefSeq and is a predicted model, not a curated record. The transcript has 3 exons.
CUAACAUGUACACACGUAAUUAAUCACUUUAUGCCAGCCCUGGAAAUGGAGCAGAGAAGGUGCACUUGGAGCAACAGGAAAUGGGCCAUUUUAGGAGUUGAUUCUAGAAUAUCUAUCUAGAUAUCAGUAUCUGAGAUUACAUGAGACCUUUUUCCUCCUGCACUGUGAUGGACAAGACACCAUCCUUAUUUGGGACUGGAAAAGUCAUAAGACUUCUGGUAUCCCUUGGAGUGUGUCAGGGUAAAACCUGCCAUCCUGCACUGACUGUUUUAGUACUGGAGAGAUGAAGAGAGAAACUUGUGACUUUGUGAGCAGG